AUUGAACGCUGGCGGCAUGCCUUACACAUGCAAGUCGAACGGUAACAGGUCUUCGGAUGCUGACGAGCGGCGAACGGGUGAGUAAUACAUCGGAACGUGCCUAGUAGUGGGGGAUAACUACUCGAAAGAGUGGCUAAUACCGCAUGAGAUCCACGGAUGAAAGCAGGGGAUCGCAAGACCUUGUGCUACUAGAGCGGCCGAGGGCAGAAUAGGUAGUUGGUGGGAUAAAAGCUUACCAAGCCGACGAUCUGUAGCUGUACUGAGAGGAAGAUUAGCCACACUGGUACUGAAAUACGGCCCAGAUUCCUACGGGCGGCAGCAGUGGGGAAUUUUGGACAAUGGGCGCAAGCCUGAUCCAGCAAUGCCGCUUGCAGGAUGAAGGCCUUCUGGUUGUAAACUGCUUUUGUACGGAACGAAAAGCCCCGGGUUAAUACCCUGGGGUCAUGACGGUACCGUAAGAAUAAGCACCGGCUAACUACGUGCCAGCCGCCGCGGUAA
RNAcentral lists this ribosomal RNA (498 nucleotides) under uncultured bacterium. Its description in RNAcentral is "partial 16S ribosomal RNA". It matches the Rfam family "Bacterial small subunit ribosomal RNA", at positions 30 to 523 of the family's 1533-position model. The record is from RNAcentral.